This 103-nucleotide microRNA precursor is filed under the name Marmota monax (woodchuck). The record is from RNAcentral. Lineage: Eukaryota; Metazoa; Chordata; Mammalia; Rodentia; Sciuridae.
AAUAGGAUAGCUGGGUCAAAUAGUGGUUGCAUUUCAAGUUUUCUGAGGAAUCUCCAUAAUGCUUUCCAGAGUGGUUGUAGCAUUUUGCAGUCCCACCAGCAAU